AGAAAUUGCAAAAAAAUUUCCUCAUUAUAAAUACUCCAUUGAAUUUUAAAAUUUAUACAGUUAAUGCUUCUCUUCUGCAACUUGCUAUAAUUAUAUCUUACAAAUAAAAAAAAAAAACACUUUUUGUACAAAUUAAGUUUUGAAAAAAAAAGAUUUCAUUUCAACUAAGAAAAUUUCAACAAAUUAUGUCCUCUUUAAAAUCAAUUAAAUUAAUGAUGUUUGUGAUAAUAAUUUGUUUAUUAUUUGGUCCAUUUACUGUUGAGUCACAACAUCGUGGUGGUGUGUGCAUUCCACCAAAUAGAUUUAGAUGUAGACGCGAUGGUACUUUAGGUUUUUGUUGCCCAGGAUUUUCUUGUAAUCAAAAACCAGGAGAAUCAAGUGGAUUCUGCGUAUAAAAAAAUUAUGAAUUUUUUUUUUUUUUUUUUUUUGCUUAUAUCAUUUCUUUUGCAAUACAGUAUACAAUUCAAUAAAUUAUAUAUUUUAGUUUCAAAUGUGUUUUUUAAAUAAAAAUUUAUUUUAAAAAAUAA
Long non-coding RNA from Leptopilina boulardi, 527 nucleotides. RefSeq lists it as uncharacterized. NCBI's taxonomy places the organism in Eukaryota, Metazoa, Arthropoda, Insecta, Hymenoptera, Figitidae. The transcript has 2 exons. The record is from RefSeq and is a predicted model, not a curated record.